UGCAGCGCCGCGGUAAUACCGGCAGCCCGAGUGAUGGCCGAUCUUAUUGGGCCUACAGCGUCCGUAGCUGGCUGCGCAAGUCCGUCGGGAAAUCCACUCGCCCAACGAGUGGGCGUCCGACGGAAACUGCACGGCUUGGGACCGGAAGGCGCGAAGGGUACGUUCGGGGUAGGAGUGAAAGCCCAUGAUCCCGCACGGACCACCGAUGGCGAAAGCACUUCGAGAAAACGGAUCCGACAGUGAGGGACGAAAGCCAGGGUCUCCAACCGGAUUAGAAACCCGAGAGUCC
This 289-nucleotide ribosomal RNA is filed under the name uncultured bacterium. RNAcentral's name for it is "partial 16S ribosomal RNA". It matches the Rfam family "Archaeal small subunit ribosomal RNA", at positions 457 to 747 of the family's 1478-position model. The record is from RNAcentral.